GACGAACGCUGGCGGCGUGCUUAACACAUGCAAGUCGAGCGGUAAGGCCCUUUCGGGGGUACACGAGCGGCGAAGGGGUGAGUAACACGUGGGUGACCUGCCCUCAGCUCUGGGAUAAGCCUGGGAAACCGGGUCUAAUACUGGAUAUGACUCCAUGACGCAUGUUGUGGGGUGGAAAGCCUUGUGCGGCUGAGGAUGGGCCCGCGGCCUAUCAGCUUGUUGGUGGGGUGANGGCCUACCAAGGCGACGACGGGUAGCCGGCCUGAGAGGGCGACCGGCCACACUGGGACUGAGACACGGCCCAGACUCCUACGGGAGGCAGCAGUGGGGAAUCUUGCGCAAUGGGCGAAAGCCUGACGCAGCGACGCCGCGUGAGGGAUGACGGCCU
This 388-nucleotide ribosomal RNA is filed under the name uncultured bacterium. RNAcentral's name for it is "bacterial SSU rRNA". It matches the Rfam family "Bacterial small subunit ribosomal RNA", at positions 28 to 417 of the family's 1533-position model. The record is from RNAcentral.